RNA transcript from Rhinolophus ferrumequinum (greater horseshoe bat), 5351 nucleotides. It is a transcript of the gene named leukotriene B4 receptor 2, with no coding region annotated. Lineage: Eukaryota; Metazoa; Chordata; Mammalia; Chiroptera; Rhinolophidae. The transcript is spliced from 3 exons. The record is from RefSeq and is a predicted model, not a curated record.
AACUGCUGUAACUCCAACACCACUUUUAUCCCCACGCACCGGGCCUGAUGUGGCUAUGCAGAACUCCUAACAACUGGCUCACUGACCAACGGACCCCCUUAAGCCCAUUACACAUUCCCACCUUGAUAAUUCCCUCCAUGGGGGAGACUGCACUCUAGACACCUGGACCCCCCAGGGCCUUAUCAUUCUAAACCUCACCCAGAGCCCACUCCCACACUGACAGAAGAGGGCCUUCGGACUGGUGAUAGCAGGAGCAAUUGCUACUGCUGCAGCUGCCGCCCCUUGGGGAGGUUUGGCCUGACAUGAACACACUCUAAGGGAGCUCACUAAGUCCAUAGAAGACACUUCCCAAGAAACAGCAGAUGCCUGGCAGAACUCUCCAGGUAGUUAGUUAGAUUCACUAGCCAAUGUUGUUUUCAACAAAUGCCUUGCUCUAGACUACCUCUUGGCAGACCAAAGGGGUUUUGUGUGGUCAUUAAUAAGACCUGCUGUACCUAUAUUAAUAAUUCAGGACAAGUUGAAACCAGUAUCAAAAAGGUUUAUGAACGGGCUGAAUGGCUGCACAAAUACAACAGUCAAGGGGCGACUAGUUCCUUGACCUCCUGGCUCCCGAGCCCCUCUUGGUUACUCCCACUCAUAGGCCCCUUCAUCACCUUGGUGCUCCUCUUACUUUUUGGCCGCUUCUUGUUCCACCUGCUCAUUAACUUUAUACAAAAAACCAUAGCUGAAGUUACCGGCAGGCCAAUAGCUCUCACCAUGCUCUUACAAGAGCACUGCUAUAGCCCCCUCACCCAAAACUCUAAUUAGGGAUCCCGAUCAAUGCCCCCACUAGGCAGGAAGCAGCCACAGAAGACUGACCACCACCCGUUUUCCCUCCGGAGGGUGAAUUUGUUAGGCCAGGAGCAGAAACUGCCGUAGGCCUAGAGAAACUGUUGGGAGUGUGCUGAAUAGAAACCAUCUUAUCUCAGAAGCCAUCUUGUCUUGCUCCCUGCCUGCUUGUACCUGCUGGCUUGCAUGUUUCUCACAGGAGCCCAUGAUCGACAGACCUGAACAUUCCUGGACGAUGGCAUGGGAGGCAGGAUAUGGAACAAGAGGACAUGGCCAAACCCCCAAACCCUCAGUUAUGAUAAACAAUGCAACGAAAAGCUCCUGAAGCACUGAAAAGGAACACCUUUGUUUUCCUCCUCCUAUAAAACUCUAUACCCCUCUUACUCAGGGAGGUUAUGGUCUUUUCUAACCUGACCUCCCGCAUCUCAAACACGCCAAAUAAAUUCUAACAGACCAAUUUUGGUCUUCCGUGACUCAUUCCUCUGACCGUACUUAAUACCAAGGAGCCCCCAGUUCUGGCCGUUGACUGGCAGGGGCCUUUCUUUCCCCUUCCCUCAACGUUACCAAUCUACAAGGUCCUCCUCAUAUUUCUCCAUUUCUAAGCUUUGCCUGACCUCUCCACCCAAAGAAGGCUUCUUUGCAGUAUGUCUGUACCACUGUACCCUUUCCUUUUUUCUCGUCUUGUAUCCUGGUGCACCCCAGUAAUGUGGUCUCUUCAUGGUUGUGUUAUGACUCCUCAACCAGUUUAUAUACCACUUACACCUCCAUGUAUCCCCCAUUCCCCAAAGAACUUAGCACCAUGCUUUACACGGACAGCUGUCAUCGACAGCCCAGUGACAGCCCUGAGGGUGGAAAGACCGGGGCAGGCCCCAAGGCAAGAGGUGAGAGAGGUAAGUGGCAAGCUGAGGGAAAAGGAGGCCCAGCAGGAUCAGGAGUCUGGAAAAAGGCAAAGAUAGAGCAGCUGAGGGAGUGAGAAUUUUGGGUCACUUCUUCUGAGUGCAGGCCAGGAAGGCGAGAGAGCGUAAGGGCUGUAGGGUUGGGAGGGUUGGGACCAGAGCUGGGGCUGGGAUGAGUGCAGAAGCAGGACCCAGUGUCCCUACUCACUCACCAACAUGACCAGGGAAACUUAUCUGUACGCCUUCAGCUUAUCCUGUUUCCUGGGGAGGCAGGACCUCACACGCCUGGACGUGUUAGUGAUGGAAAGGAGUAGGGUGAGGGAGGGACCCUAGGAAAGGCCCCACCUUUCCCUCCACAUUCUCGCCUCACCCUCUGCAAACCUAAAAGGCAUAAGACAGGAAGGAGUAGGCACCUCACCUCGCCCACUGCUGCUUUAUCUUUCAGCUUCGCCAGGACCCUCAUGGGAGCCCUCACCCUGCUAACUCCCAGCUGGCCCCCUGUAGGCACAGAGGAUGUGGGACUGCUACCGUCCCCCGGGAAAUGAGACGCUGCUGAGCUGGAAUGCCUCGCGGGCCACAGGCACGGUCUUCCUGCUGCUGGCGGCGCUGCUGGGACUGCCCGGCAAUGGCUUCGUAAUAUGGAGCUUGGCGGGCUGGCGGCCUGCACGGGGGCGACCGCUGGCGGCCACACUCGUGCUGCAUCUGGCGCUGGCCGACGGCGCGGUGCUGCUGCUCACACCGCUUUUCGUGGCCUUCCUGGUGGGCAAGGAGUGGCCGCUGGGCCAGGUGGGCUGCAAGGCCGUGUACUACAUAUGCGCGCUCAGCAUGUACGCCAGCGUUCUGCUCACCAGCCUGCUCAGCCUGCAGCGCUGCCUGGCUGUCACCCGCCCCUUCCUGGCGCCUCGGCUGCGUAGCCCGGCCCUGGUCCACCGCCUGCUGCUCGCCGUCUGGAUGGCCGCUCUGUUGCUCGCCCUCCCGGCCGCUGUUUACCGCCACGUCUGGAGGGACAACGUGUGCCAGUUGUGCCACCCGUCGCCGGCCCAGGCCGCCGCCCACCUGAGCCUGGAGACUCUGACCGCCUUCGUGCUGCCCUUCGGGCUGGUGCUCGGCUGCUACAGCGUGACGCUGGCACGGCUGCGGGGCGCCCGCUGGGGCUCCGGGAGACACGGCACGCGGGUGGGCCGGCUGGUGAGCGCCAUCGUGCUCGCCUUCGGCUUGCUCUGGGCCCCGUACCACGCGGUCAACAUUGUGCAGGCGGUAGCCGCGCUGGCUCCACCGGAAGGGACCCUGGCGAGGUGGGGCGGCGCCGGCCAGGCGGCUCGAGCUGGAACUACAGCGUUGGCCUUCUUCAGCUCCAGCGUCAACCCGGUGCUCUAUCUCUUCACCGCAGGGGAUCUGCUGCCCCGCGCAGGUCCCCGUUUCCUCACACGGCUCUUUGAGGGCUCGGGAGAAGCCCGAGGGUCCGGCUGCUCUAGGGAGGGGACUAUGGAGCUCCGAGCUAUCCAUCGGCUCAAAGUGGUGGGGCAGGGCCCAUACAAUGGAGACCCUGGGGGCGGGGCGUCGAAGGACAGUCAGGGAUGGGACCCUUGACACUAAACCCUACAACCAGGCCUGCUCUUCUCUAUCCCCUUCCAUCACCCCCUAGAACUCAGGGAAGCACUCUGAAGAAUUUGGGAAUCCUUUUCUGACCACAGUUUACAUCUGUCUGGGCAGAAUUAUUAUACACCUGGGGCAGGCUCAGGUUCCUCCAAACUGAGGGAUUUCAAAGGGUGAUGGUCUAUGUUAACGAAUACUGUGCACUUGCAGGCUGGCAUGUGCCCAUGUGCCAGAGCUGCAUACUUGUUCCCAAUAGCUAUUGUGAAAGACAUUAGGCCGCUAUUACACCAUGGCUUAAGGGUGCUCCCCCUGGUGGUUCAGUAUGCAUGACUUGUACUGAAGCCACAUGGUUUCCUUGCUGGGUCAGGCCAACGCUGGGCAGAGCCAGCCUUCAGUGGCAUCUUGACCUGUCCUCCCCACUCCAUGGGGCCUGGUUCCCUCAGGCCAACCCAUAUAACCACUCUGGAAAAAAAGGGAGAAAGAAGGAAAGGUAUGGGCUCUUGGAUGUGGAGUGGGGAUGGAAUCUAUUCUCUGGGGUCUAUAAGAGCCAAGUGGGGGGAACACUGGCCCUGGAAGGUGAAAGUCAAUCUGUGGAGUUUGAAAGGAAAAUUUUUCUGACUGUUUUGUGGUUGGCACGGUGGAGGAAUGGCCCCGGGAGACUGAGAUUUAUCUUUCUCUCUGAAUACAACAAAAAGGGACCUGCAAAAAGGGGCCCAGGAGCAGGUACUCAUUCCCCCAGGGGACACUUGAGGGUUGGAGAUAGGGGAUAUGAGCAGUGGUGUGGAUAUUUGGAGGACAGGAAGAAUUUUCCAUGUUGGUGACACCUUUCCUUUCUCCUUUUUCUCUCUUCCAAGUCUUGGCUCCUCCCAAGACUGCUAGCUGUUCCUCACCCACCCUCUCCAAUACUUCCCUGUUUCCGUUUUUUUGAAUCUUUCUAUUUCUAGGCCUCAAAACUGUUUUGGAUCCUGACACUUUUGCGUUUGGGGAUGUAGGAUGGAAUUCUUUUUAAGGGAUGUCCACAUGCACAUACAUAUGAAGGUCGGGUGGUUAAGUUCGUGUGGUCACUAGGGUGACCAACUCAUCCUAGUUUGCCCAGGACAUUCCCAGUUUUCACACGAGAAGUCUCUUGUCCCAGUCCCUUCAGCCCCUGGCAAACUUAGGUCCUUAGUGACCUGAGUUCUGGUCAUGCUGACCAUUACACCAGGUCUGCUUUAGUGACUGUUCACACCACCCAGGCAGAGCCCAAGAGAGAGAGCAAAAGAAAUUUAGUCCUCAGGGUCACACCAGGGCCACCAAAACUGGGGUUAGAGGUGGAACUCUGGACUUGGGAGGCAGGUAUGCUUAGAGUAUGGUGUGAAAGAAGAAAGGCCAUGGACAGAGAUGGAGGUGGGGAGAAGCUUGGGGAAAGAGGCAAAGACAACCUAGUUUGUGUCAGAAGGGGCCUCGAAUUGCCCCUGGAGCUCUGAGCCAGAAGCUUUGAUACUGAAACACCGAUUGCAGAGGCUUCUUCCUGUCCUCAUGCACUUAGGGAGGAGGGUCCCUAACUUCCCUGUCUCAUACACCCUCUGUGGUCAGAAAGCCCUUCCUCAACCCGGCCCUCAGUUCUUGCUGUGGUUUCAGCCCAUUUCUUUUCAUCAUAUCCUCUGCCUGACAGCUACUGGGUCAACUCUGCUCUUCAGAGAAAGUGGGGACGCUGCAAAGGGUAAGGGACAUCCAUGACCACCAUUACACUCGGCAUCUUUCCUGAGAGUGACAGAGUGGGAAGGGACGCAGGAAGGCUCAUGGUUAGAUUGAAGGAAAGACUUUUCAGUCCUUAGCUUCUACAUGAGAGUUCAAGAGAGGAGAAAGAAGAGUGACACUUUUGGGUGCUGUUUCCCUUUCCACAGUCCUGGUUUCCCCUCUUGGCAGGGCAACUGACAGCACCCAGACCUGGGGCCAGACCCCGGGCACUGGGACGGAUCUGGAGAUAGGCUACACCACCCUGCUCUGACCCUGGGAUUGGCACCAGCUUCCAACCAGUAACCGGCAAAG